CGGCACGUCAGUCACGCACCGGCCGCGGACCGAGGCGGACGUGUCUUGGUCAUGGCGUACCUAGUGGGCUCUUUGCGCGCCCUAACCUCUCUCCCGGGGAGUAACCUGCGUGCGCUGAGCAACGCAGCUUGCGAGUUGACCCGCGACCUCGCCUACGUGAACGGCGAGUGGGUAGGUGCGUCGUCGGGUGCGACCUUCCCCGUGUCUAAUCCCUUCGACCUUUCAACCGUCGGUCAUGCGCCCGACAUGUCGCCGAGCGACGCGGAAACCGCCAUAGACGCCGCCGCGUGUGCCUUCGAGCGCCACCGCGGCGCGACUGCGCGGGAACGCGCCGAGUGGCUGCGCGCUUGGCACGCGCAGCUGCGCGCGCAGGCCACGCCCCUCGCCGAGAUUCUGGGCGCGGAGGGGGGAAAGUCAGUAGCGGAGGCGCAGGCCGAGGUGGCGUAUGGGAACUCGUUCGUCGAGUGGUUCGCCGAGGAGGCGCGACGAUCGAAUGCCGGCGAGGUCGUACCGGCGCCUACGCGGGGCCGCCAACUACUGACGGUGCGCCAGCCCGUCGGGGUGGCGGCGCUCAUCACCCCUUGGAACUUUCCACACGCCAUGGUUGCGCGGAAGGCCGCGGCGGCGCUCGCGGCGGGGUGCAGCUGCGUAGUUAAGCCCUCGGCCGACGCGCCGCUGACGGCGCUGGCGAUGGCAGUGCUCGCCGAGCGCGCCGGACUGCCGGCCGGCCUGCUGAACGUCGUGACGGCGGGCCCCGAGGGCUCCGUCGCUAUAGGCGAGACCCUGUGCGCCAGUCCGCGCGUGCGCGCGCUCUCCUUUACCGGCUCCACCGCCGUCGGCAAGAUUCUUUACCGACAGUGCGCCUCCACCGUUAAGAAAAUCGCUCUGGAACUUGGUGGAGACGCGCCUUUCGUUGUUUUCGAAUCGGCCGACCCUCAGGCUGCCGUCAAUGGUGCCCUUGUAAGCAAAUUCCGCAACAAUGGACAGACCUGCGUCGCUGCAAACCGUUUCUACGUCCAGGAGAAGCUCUACGGGAACUUUGUUGAGGAGCUGGUGCAACGUUCGAAGUCUGAAAUCACGCCGGGGCCCCUCAUCAAGGAAAGUCAGCUGAUCGGUGUUGAGGGACUCGUUAACGAUGCUGUAAAAAAGGGCGCGAAAUUACACUGCGGAGGAUCUAGGCUUCCUGAGGUGGGUCCUCUCGUUUAUGCACCUACCAUCCUGACCGAUGUCGACCCUUCUAUGGAAAUAUACACCAAAGAGAUUUUUGGACCCGUUGCUGUGAUUCAUCGGUUCCAAAAUGAAGAAGAGGCUCUCCAACUUGCAAACUCGACUACUCUUGGCUUGGCUGGGUAUUUUUAUUCCCGCGAUCUCGCUCAGGUCUUCCGGGUGGCACGUCGUCUCGAAGUUGGCAUGGUGGGUGUCAACGAAGGACUCAUCUCCUGCGCAGAAGCUGCCUUCGGUGGUGUUAAAGAGUCAGGAAUUGGUAGAGAAGGAUCCACACAUGGCCUCGAGGACUAUCAGGACAUCAAGUAUAUAUGCAUCGGUGGCCUCACCGAGUAGAUCGAGGGGCUAUUCACUGGGAAAUCUGUGAAAAUGAUUUUCUUCCUUAAGAACCGAUUGCCUUUUAUUUCGUACGAUAAAUAAUAAUGCGAUUGGGUAACAAAAGGCCUUAAAAUUGUAACAAUAAAUUCCAAUGAUUUUUUUUCUUGCAAUUUUCAGCUGAUUUUCAUGUGAUUUAGAGUAUUAAAAUCUACGAUUUCCUGAAUGAAUAACCCCUCGGAGUAGAUCGCAUCCGGUACUGGAGCUUUCGGCCUUUAUCCACGUCUUCCUCGCGUCUUUAACGAGGCGGCUUCGUCCCGGAUUGGACAUCUCACUUAAGGAUUGUGCUUCUGCUAAGUGGAAGCUUUACGAACAAAUUACCUCAACUGGCUUAACCAGGGUUAAUACCUUCCGUAGUUUAGAGAUCGACAUAUAUGUAUCUAGUACAUUGAGUUACGCACCAAUUUCAUGCGAGGGUUAAUAAUAGUCCCUCACAGUAUACAUUGUUAUGUCAACGAGUCAUGACACAGUUUAUAAAGCUACAGGAAUUUUUAACUUUUCAAAUGUUGCAAUUCUUUUGUUACAUAUUUUAAUACUUUUAUUUUUUUCAUCUAU
Orussus abietinus is the source of this 2154-nucleotide RNA transcript. It is a transcript of the gene named 3-sulfolactaldehyde dehydrogenase, with no coding region annotated. The record is from RefSeq and is a predicted model, not a curated record. The transcript is spliced from 5 exons. Lineage: Eukaryota; Metazoa; Arthropoda; Insecta; Hymenoptera; Orussidae.